CCUACGGGAGGCAGCAGUGGGGAAUAUUGCACAAUGGGGGAAACCCUGAUGCAGCCAUGCCGCGUGUGUGAAGAAGGCCUUCGGGUUGUAAAGCACUUUCAGUUGUGAGGAAAGUUUAGUAGUUAAUACCUGCUAGAUGUGACGUUAGCAACAGAAGAAGCACCGGCUAACUCCGUGCCAGCAGCCGCGGUAAUACGGAGGGUGCGAGCGUUAAUCGGAAUUACUGGGCGUAAAGCGCACGCAGGCGGUCUGUUAAGCUAGAUGUGAAAGCCCCGCGCUCAACGUGGGAGGGUCAUUUAGAACUGGCAGACUAGAGUCUUGGAGAGGGGAGUGGAAUUCCAGGUGUAGCGGUGAAAUGCGUAGAGAUCUGGAGGAACAUCAAUGGCGUAGGCAACUCCCUGGCCAAAGACUGACGCUCAUGUGCGAAAGUGUGGGUAGCGAACAGGAUUAGAUACCCUGAUAGUCCACACCGUAAACGCUGUCUACUAGCUGUUUGUGAAUUUAAUUCGUGAGUAGCGAAGCUAACGCGUUAAGUAGACCGCCUGGGGAGUACGGUCGCAAGAUUAAAACUCAAAGGAAUUGACGG
This 586-nucleotide ribosomal RNA is filed under the name uncultured bacterium. Its description in RNAcentral is "bacterial SSU rRNA". It matches the Rfam family "Bacterial small subunit ribosomal RNA", at positions 338 to 916 of the family's 1533-position model. The record is from RNAcentral.